UAUAUAUAAGUGUUAAAUUGCACAAAAAAUUUUGAAUUUUUUAGAAUUAGAUUAAAUUUAUUAUAUAUAA
This 70-nucleotide transfer RNA is filed under the name Ganaspini sp. ZJUH 20220007. RNAcentral's name for it is "tRNA-Gln". The record is from RNAcentral. Lineage: Eukaryota; Metazoa; Arthropoda; Insecta; Hymenoptera; Figitidae.